UAAAAUAUUUUACUAGAUUGUAUUUAUGGUUAACAGUAUCUUGCACUACAAUUUAUAUUUAGAUAAUCAUUCAUUUUAAAAUUAUUUAUUGAGCACCUACUAUGUGUUAGGUAUUAGGUACAGAGCAAUGAAUACAGCAAGCACAGUUCCUCACCUCGUGGACCUGACACUGUAGUGUGAGAGAUAAUAAGCAAAUGAUAUAAGGCCAUGCAGUAGUUAAAUGCUAUGAAGAAACAUAAAAUCUGGUACAGGGACAGAGAGUAGGGAGGGAGCUCUUGUUAUAAAGGGUGGCCAGGAAAGACCAAGUUGUGUAGCAGAGGCCUGAAGGAAGCCAGGGACCAAGCCAUAUGAAUUUUCUCAGAUAGGUGUAUUCUAGUUAUAGAGAACAGCAACUGGAACGGUCCUGAGAAGGGAACAUUCCUGGAACAUUCAAGAACUAGCCAAGAGAUCAGCAAGUCUAUAGUAAAAAGAAACAUAGUAGAUAGUCAUCUAGUGUUUUCUUCUCUUCCUUCCUAUUAUCUCUCAUACCAUGUCAUGUUACUUUUCUAAAGGAUCUCAAUGGGGAAGAGAACAUCAUUGUCUUUAAGAUUCAAUUUUUUGUGUAUUGAAAGUCUUCAUGGUCAUUCUUUUGAGAUCAUGACCUACUACAACGUCCCCAGGCCUGCAUCCUCCACAGGCUCCAUGAGCAGAAAAGCAGACGAAUAGAAGAGCAGAGGAACAGAAGAAUAGCAGUGUGGCCGAGCAGCGUGGUAGAGAAAGAGGGAAGAGAAGCAGCAUCUGAAUGUUGAGAGGAGUUUGGCUGGGGACAGUCGGAGAGGAGAUUGGCCGCAGGACGACCCAACUCCAGGGGAGGAACAUCUUCCUACUCCAUUCGCUUCCCCACUCCCCAGCCAUUCCACUGAGAGCCACCUCCAUCUGGCAAUAAAAUCUCUUGCAUUCACUAUCCUUCAAUUUGCCUGUGUGACCUGAUUCUUCCUGGAUGCUGGACAAGAACCCAGCAUCCAGGUACCAAGAGGGCACUGGGCUGGAUAACACUUGAGCUGUCUGUGGACGGCAGAGCUAAAAGAGCACUGUAACAUGCCCACUGGGGCUUUGGGAGUUGCAGGCACCCACCCUGGAUGCUACUACCAUGGGGCUGGAGCCCAAAAGUGUUUGCCCCGCCUCCUGCACCUGCCCGUCUGCAUGCUCCCCCUCCAGUAAGGGGUUUGAGUGCACAGAGGCUGAACAGAUGAGCCACACCCCUGUCACACAUCCUGUGAAGGGGGUUAGGAAACUCUCCCAUUUCAUCUUGACCAUCUUUGAGGGACUAUUGAUGCUUUUGGUAUCAGCAGCCACAGAAUUCAUCAGACACAGCACAAAAGAGCAGGAGAAGAGAUAAUGGCAGAUGCCAGAAGGUUGUCCAGCUGGUUACUACCUCUCCUCUUCACCUGAUUAUACCUGAUUACUGCUGACUCGAUGGGCAGGGAGAGUCGCUGACUCCUGACAGAAAGACUCUGUCACCCCUUGCCAUUUAUUUUAGAUCCUGUGAAUCCUACUGUCAAUGUUGUGACACCUGCAAUGCCUGGGAUGAAGCUGCCCAUGUGAGCUGGGGAGGACUCCUGACCAGCGUGACACCUAACAUUGGAGUGAAGGGGCAGCAGAUGUGACUUGUUCCUCCUUGCCUUCCACCGUGAUUGUGAGACCUCUCCAGCCACGUGAAACGGAAUGGGAAAUACUCUUCUCCUACCACCAACUUGGCCACUCUCCAGUGACGAGGUUUCAGAAGCAGUGCAUUUUCAAGUUUCUGCCUCAGAAGAGAUCCAGUUUGGCAUUCUGUCUAAGUUCACUGCACAGAGACGGGUUUGGCUCUGUGAUUCAUCAGAAAUAAGAAAAACAAACACUGUAAAUGGAGAACUUGAAAAAGAGGUGGGCACCAUCUCCCCACCCAAGAGAAUGGAUUUAAGAGGAAAUUUGUUUAUGGGAUGAAGUUUUAAAAGGCGACCUGGAAAAUUUAGCAAAGAUGUAAAUAAACAACUCUUCCUUGGAUUGCAUUAGGCUUCAGAAUAAAUAUAUUAACCAGCUUCAGUCAAAGUCUGCCUAGAAUCUGACCCUGACAAGACCCAGUGACUAGUGCUGCUCCGAACCUUCCCCACCAACAGCAGGCAAUUUUCUCUGUGGCAAAGCUACCUCGAAACAGGCAUCCAGGCUUCCCUCCCACGAAGUGAAGAUGAGAAAACUGAGUCUCAGAAUGGACAAGCUCACAGAUGGCAAGUGGUAGAGCAGACUUCACACAUAGCCAUCUGAGUGAGAUGGGAAGCUGAUCCUCCAGCCCUGAUCAAGCCUUCAAAUGACUGCACCUCCAGCUGACAGAUUACCAAAAGCAACCUCCUUCCAGAAGACCUUGAGCCAAAACCACUCAGCUAAGCUACUUCCAGAUCCCUGAUCCUCGGAAACUGUGCGAGACAAUAAAUGUUUAAAUGGCCACCCACUUUGGAAUAAAGAGGACAUAUAAUUUGCCUAAGGUCACAUAGCACUCUCUAAAUCAGUACAGUAUUUUAGACAAAGCUUCAACUUUGCACUUUUAUGGGUCAUUUUGAUAUAAGACUACAAGGAUAUCUCCUCCCAUGACAAACUUGACUUCAUUUACAACAAAAGGCCAAGCAAGAUACAGUACACUGUGGGGAUAAAUGGUACUCACUGAGGACAGGAAUAUGCUGACAUUAUCUCAAUUUCCUCCUCCCUCCUGUUGUUCUCCUUUGGAUGCUUUCCUGGACUAUAGGGAGAAGGAAAAUAGAGAAAGGCCAACUGCGACUAGGCCAGAGAUCAGAUGUUACCUUGUAGGAAGCAUCUCAUUCUAACCUUAAGUACUCUCUUGAUGAAGUACGGGGCCAAGAGAUUUUGGAAUUCUACCACACAAGGUUGCUCAGCAUUCCAAGAAGUAUUGAUAACUCUUCAAGAGCAAAAGUCAUUUAAAUUAAACUUCUCUGGCCGGGCAUGGUAGCUCAUAUCUGUAAACCCAGCACUUUGGGAGGCUGAGGCUGGAAGAUCACU
Molecule: long non-coding RNA, 3030 nt
Filed under: Homo sapiens (human)
Lineage: Eukaryota; Metazoa; Chordata; Mammalia; Primates; Hominidae
Description: HSALNT0328448
Source: RNAcentral